RNAcentral lists this ribosomal RNA (569 nucleotides) under Neoantrodia variiformis. RNAcentral describes it as "SSU rRNA". It matches the Rfam family "Bacterial small subunit ribosomal RNA", at positions 401 to 950 of the family's 1533-position model. The record is from RNAcentral. Lineage: Eukaryota; Fungi; Basidiomycota; Agaricomycetes; Polyporales; Fomitopsidaceae.
GCUAACUGAAAUCAUUAAUUGAAUAACUUCAAUAUGAUGUGGUAAGGGAAAAUAAUGAUAUUACCUUACUUAUAGUGUUGUCUAAAGCUGGUGCCAGAAGACUCGGUAAAGCCAGAAACGCAAACGUUAAUCAUCAUAAACAGGCGUAAAGGGUUAGUAGGCUGCUUUUUAAAUUAAUAAAAUUUAAUCUUAACCCCUUAAGUUUAAAAAUAAAAAAUAAAAAUUUAAAUUUUAUUAUUUUAUUUAUAUUAAUUUUUAGAGCUAGAAUCAAAAAGAAGUUAAAAAGUAUAAUACUUAGAGUAGGGAUAAUAUCUUCAGAACCUAAGGGGAAUACUAAAGGUGUAAACAACUAACUAUAAAUGAUUGACGCUGAGGGACGAAGGUGAGGACAGGAAAUAGGAUUAGAUACCCCGGUACCCCUCUCUGUAAACGAUGAAUGGUAAUCAUUAGUAUAUUACUGGUGGUAAAGUUAACACGUUAACCAUUCCGCCUUGGGAGUACGACUGCAAAGUUGAAAACAAAAAAAUUAGUCGGUCUCGAAGCAAACGGAGUGAAGCAUGUUAUUUAAU